Molecule: ribosomal RNA, 440 nt
Filed under: uncultured bacterium
Lineage: Bacteria
Description: partial 16S ribosomal RNA
Rfam family: Bacterial small subunit ribosomal RNA
Source: RNAcentral
CCUACGGGAGGCAGCAGUGGGGAAUAUUGCACAAUGGGGGAAACCCUGAUGCCGCGACGCCGCGUGAGCGAUGAAGUAUUUCGGUAUGUAAAGCUCUAUCAGCAGGGAAGAAAAUGACGGUACCUGACUAAGAAGCCCCGGCUAACUACGUGCCAGCAGCCGCGGUAAUACGUAGGGGGCAAGCGUUAUCCGGAUUUACUGGGUGUAAAGGGAGCGUAGACGGUCCUGCAAGCCAGAUGUGAAAGCCCGGGGCUCAACCCCGGGACUGCAUUUGGAACUGUAAGGCUAGAGUGUAGGAGAGGCAGGCGGAAUUCCUAGUGUAGCGGUGAAAUGCGUAGAUAUUAGGAGGAACACCAGUGGCGAAGGCGGCCUGCUGGACGAUGACUGACGUUGAGGCUCGAAAGCGUGGGGAGCAAACAGGAUUAGAUACCCGGGUAGUC